UACAGAGGUCUCAAGCGUUGUUCGGAUUCACUGGGCGUAAAGGGUGCGUAGGUGGUCAGGUAAGUCGGAUGUGAAAUCUCCGAGCUCAACUCGGAAACUGCAUUGGAAACUACCUGGCUCGAGGGUUGGAGGGGGGACUGGAAUGCUUGGUGUAGCAGUGAAAUGCGUAGAUAUCGGGAGGAACACCAGUGGCGAAGGCGACUUCCUGGCCUGUUCUUGACGCUGAGGCGCGAAAGCUAGGGGAGCAAACGGG
This 253-nucleotide ribosomal RNA is filed under the name uncultured bacterium. RNAcentral describes it as "partial 16S ribosomal RNA". It matches the Rfam family "Bacterial small subunit ribosomal RNA", at positions 524 to 776 of the family's 1533-position model. The record is from RNAcentral.